GAAGGUAGAGCUCAGUGGUAGAGUGUGUGCUUAGCAUGCACGAGGCCCUGGGUUCAAUCCCCAGUACCUUCA
RNAcentral lists this transfer RNA (72 nucleotides) under Camelus bactrianus (Bactrian camel). It matches the Rfam family "tRNA". From Rfam's summary of the family: Transfer RNA (tRNA) molecules are approximately 80 nucleotides in length. Their secondary structure includes four short double-helical elements and three loops (D, anti-codon, and T loops). Further hydrogen bonds mediate the characteristic L-shaped molecular structure. tRNAs have two regions of fundamental functional importance: the anti-codon, which is responsible for specific mRNA codon recognition, and the 3' end, to which the tRNAs corresponding amino acid is attached (by aminoacyl-tRNA synthetases). tRNAs cope with the degeneracy of the genetic code in two manners: having more than one tRNA (with a specific anti-codon) for a particular amino acid; and 'wobble' base-pairing, i.e. permitting non-standard base-pairing at the 3rd anti-codon position. Lineage: Eukaryota; Metazoa; Chordata; Mammalia; Artiodactyla; Camelidae. RNAcentral also lists the same sequence under 2 other names. The record is from Rfam by way of RNAcentral.